This 208-nucleotide ribosomal RNA is filed under the name uncultured bacterium. RNAcentral describes it as "partial 16S ribosomal RNA". It matches the Rfam family "Bacterial small subunit ribosomal RNA", at positions 568 to 774 of the family's 1533-position model. The record is from RNAcentral.
CUCGUAGGCGGUUCAGUAAGUCGGGUGUGAAAACUCAGGGCUCAACCCUGAGACGCCACUCGAUACUGCUGUGACUUGAGUACGGUAGGGGAGCGGGGAAUUCCUGGUGUAGCGGUGAAAUGCGCAGAUAUCAGGAGGAACACCAGUGGCGAAGGCGCCGCUCUGGGCCGUAACUGACGCUGAGGAGCGAAAGCGUGGGUAGCAAACA